This 440-nucleotide ribosomal RNA is filed under the name uncultured bacterium. RNAcentral describes it as "partial 16S ribosomal RNA". It matches the Rfam family "Bacterial small subunit ribosomal RNA", at positions 338 to 795 of the family's 1533-position model. The record is from RNAcentral.
CCUACGGGAGGCAGCAGUAGGGAAUAUUGCUCAAUGGGGGAAACCCUGAAGCAGCAACGCCGCGUGGAGGAUGAAGGUUUUCGGAUUUUUAACUCCUUUUUUUAGAGAAGAUAAUGACGGUAUCUAACGAAUAAGCACCGUCUAACUCCGUGCCAGCUGCCGUGGUAAUACGGAGGGUGCAACCGUUACUCGGAAUCACUGGGCGUAAAGAGCGCGUAUGCGGGAUAGCAAGUCAGAUGUGAAAACGUAUGGGUUAACCAUAGAACUGCAUUUGAAACUGGUAUUCUAGAGUAUGGGAGAGGUAGGUGGAAUGCUUGGUGUAGGGGUGAAAUGCGUAGAGAUCAAGAAGAAUACUGAUUGCGAAGGCAGCCUACUAGCGCAAAACUGACGCUGAUGCGCGAAAGCGUGGGGAGCGAACAGGAUUAGAUACCCUGGUAGUC